AAUCUUCAAUUUGAACUAUAUCCCAAAACCUGCAAAUCCCUAUAUUCCCUUCAUAUCCCUUCUCCAUUUUUCACUUUCACUAAUAAACAAAAUCCCAAAACCCAUAAGUUCUUGUACAUAUCUCAAUCUUCUUCCUUUCUCAAAUUUUGACUGAAUUUCCCCUUAAUUCUUGACUUUUGAAUUCUGGGUUUCUUUUUUUCUCUAAUUAUUUUUGCUGGGAUUUGUCAAAGUUUCAAUUUUUAAUUCAUUUUUGUUCAUAUUUCAUGGAUUUUGCUCUUGAAUCUUCGGUUUUCAAUCGACCCACGUUCGUUCCAACAAUAAAAAACUCGUUUUUCCUCUACCAAUAUCGAUGUUCUCAAUUUCCUGUCAAGAUUUCACCCAGAAGUCAUCACUAUCCAAAGUUUCAUUCCUAGAUGUCCCAAAAACAAAAUUUUGGACUCUAGAACCCACGUGAAACCAAUACACAAAAGUCACUACAGAACUGGGUCGUGAAAAAAAUGAAGUUUUGGAUUCAAAUUUAGAGAAAGUUAAGUUUUUCAUGAAAGGGGGAGUCGUUUUAGGGGCUUUUGUUUGUGGGGUAUUGGUGCUUGGUUGUAAGAGAGUUUUUGCUGUGGAGAGUGAAGUAAAUAUUGGGUAUGGAGUUACUUGACAGAGCAUAUUGUUGUUGAAGAAUGCUUGGCCUAAAGUUUCUCAUGUUUGAGAGUGUUUAAAGAGCAAGGUUUGGUUUUGGCUGCGCUUUUGGGGUUGCCUGCGUUCUUUCAAUGGCUGAGACGUCUAUCACCACGCUUUUGCCUUGGAAGGUGCAGGAAUUGGCAGAAAAAGAGCCUGAUAAUGGUGUCUUUAAAAUGCUUUGAAGUGAUGUUACUCAGUUUUUGACGACUAUUCUCACUGGAUCAGCGUCCUACCCUCCCCCUUAAUUGUGGCAAAUAUUGGAGCCAUUGCGUUAGUCACAGAGGUGGCAACAGCUUUAUUUUGUAUGCCUGGUGUCAGUGCAGCAACAGGAGUAAUGACUGUAAGUAUGACUUUCUCUCUCUAUUAAAGACAUGCAUAUAUAUUAUGAACUCAUAUUGAAAUGCCAUGCAGUGCUUAUAGUCGACAUCUAAGUUAUUGGUGGACAGGAUAUAGUUUCCAUCAAACUGAGUAUUUGUCCUCAUUGAAACAAAGUUCAUCUCGUCUAUGGAUUAAAAGCUCAUGCAGAUACACACUAAGAUUUCUAUACCUUAUUUCAAUUGCUUUAACCAGUUUUCCAUUUCCUGAAUGAUAUUGGGUGGCCGUAUUACUUCUCACUGAAAUUUCUCCAAAAAGUAUUGCUGUUCAUAGUGCCAUAGAGGUUGCUAGGCUUGUGGUAACUUUAAAUUAUAUAUUCCAUUUUCUUCAAUCUAAAUAAGGGUGUCUCUGUUAAUGCUUAAUAGAUUUGGCUUUCCCUUGGAUUUUCCUCAACCUCAUGCUUAAUGUAGUUCUGUAGGUUUUCUGUGCUUUGCUGAUAUUACUGUCUGAGCUCUAUUUGACUUUGCAAGGUUUCUAGGUCAGGCCAGUGGCAUUGCUUUCCUUGGUACCUUUACCCUGUGGGAAGAGUUGUUACAUAUCUAUCAAUGGGAAUGCUAAAAGCUCUUGGUUUGAAAGGAUCAAGGUAUGUUUGAUCAUGAUCUUUUAUUUUUUUGGUGAAAAGAUAAUCAUUGCUACUUUUUUUUUUUUUUUUUAAUCUUUUUGUAUCUUCCACAUCAUACUUCAUUUGUUAGCCAUUUCCAUCAAAUUGUAAUGUCCGUUGAUCAUGUUGUGAUUUUAGACAACUCAUUUGAAUGAGCCUAAUGGUUUUCAGUUGUAUUCAAGAAAGUAUUUCUUGGCUAGCAAAAGAACAGGACACAAGGUUAUGAUAAUAAAUUUGCUAUUUAUCAAGUUAUAUUUGUAUGGAGUUAUUCAUAUCAUGUGUAAGGCUAUUUAGAGAAGGAAGUUAGGAUUAGAAUGGGGCAGUAGGUUACUAGCAACAAAGCAGAGGUUUAAGUGGUAGUUAUAUAUACUAUGUAAAUAAGAUUCUAAUCCUGGAUGUUUUAUUCAUUCAUCUAAUAAUUGCAAGAGGAAUUUCAUUUGAUUGUAUUAUGUUAUUAAAACGGAUUUAGGAUUUGGUUUGAAUGUAGCCACUUAAGUUUUGAUCAUGCUAUGCCCCAAUGUCCUGUAUAUGAGGCAAAUAUUCUUAUUAGUGAGGACAUAUUAAUUGAAAGAGUCAUUUUUUAGUUUGUCGUAUUUAUUCAUUCAUCUAAUAAUUGCAAGAGGAAUUUCAUUUGACUGUAUUAUGUUAUUAAAAUGGAUUUAGGAUUUUGUUUGAAUGUUGCCACUUAAGUAUUGAUCAUGCAAUGUCCCAGUGUCCUGUAUACGAGGCAAAUAUUCUUAUUAGUGAGGACAUAUUAAUUGAAAGAGUCAUUACAUAGUUUGUGGUAAAUAGUGUUCUAUUAACUAUCUUUUUCCCCAGUCGUUAUCUGUAUCUUAAAUGCUUUCUUUAUCAGUUAGCCAUAAGUUGCUGAAGAUGAGUUGAAGCUGAUGUUGUGCGGAGUAGAGUUGAGUGGGGCAAUAGAGGAGAAAGAACAGAAAAAUAUGCUUCAUGGCACCAUUCCAGGAAAAUUUGCAAAGCACAGUCCUUUGAGGACCACCCUUAACUUCAA
Long non-coding RNA from Pistacia vera, 2657 nucleotides. RefSeq lists it as uncharacterized. Lineage: Eukaryota; Viridiplantae; Streptophyta; Magnoliopsida; Sapindales; Anacardiaceae. The transcript has 4 exons. The record is from RefSeq and is a predicted model, not a curated record.